GAUGAACGCUGGCGGCGUGCUUAACACAUGCAAGUCGAACGAAGCACUUUAUUUGAUUUCCUUCGGGACUGAUUAUUUUGUGACUGAGUGGCGGACGGGUGAGUAACGCGUGGGUAACCUGCCUUGUACAGGGGGAUAACAGUUGGAAACGGCUGCUAAUACCGCAUAAGCGCACAGCAUCGCAUGAUGCAGUGUGAAAAACUCCGGUGGUAUAAGAUGGACCCGCGUUGGAUUAGCUAGUUGGUGAGGUAACGGCCCACCAAGGCGACGAUCCAUAGCCGACCUGAGAGGGUGACCGGCCACAUUGGGACUGAGACACGGCCCAAACUCCUACGGGAGGCAGCAGUGGGGAAUAUUGCACAAUGGGCGAAAGCCUGAUGCAGCGACGCCGCGUGAGCGAAGAAGUAUUUCGGUAUGUAAAGCUCUAUCAGCAGGGAAGAUAAUGACGGUACCUGACUAAGAAGCACCGGCUAAAUAUGUG
RNAcentral lists this ribosomal RNA (481 nucleotides) under uncultured bacterium. RNAcentral's name for it is "partial 16S ribosomal RNA". It matches the Rfam family "Bacterial small subunit ribosomal RNA", at positions 28 to 507 of the family's 1533-position model. The record is from RNAcentral.